AGGGUUUGAUCAUGGCUCAGAUUGAACGCUGGCGGUAGGCUUAACACAUGCAAGUCGAGCGAGAAAGUAUCUUCGGAUAUGAGUAGAGCGGCGGACGGGUGAGUAACGCGUAGGAAUCUACCUAGUAGAAGGGGAUAGCCCGGGGAAACUCGGAUUAAUACCGUAUACCUCCUAAGGGAGAAAGAGGGCCUCUCUUGAUGCUCUCGCUAUUAGAUGAGCCUGCGUAAGAUUAGCUUGUUGGUGAGGUAAUGGCUCACCAAGGCUGCGAUCUUUAGCUGGUCUGAGAGGACGAUCCGCCACAUUGGGACUGAGACACGGCCCAGACUCCUACGGGAGGCAGCAGUGGGGAAUAUUGGACAAUGGGCGCAAGCCUGAUCCAGCCAUACCGCGUGUGUGAAGAAGGCCUUCGGGUUGUAAAGCACUUUAAGCAGGGAGAAAAAGUUAUAAGUUAAUACCUUAUAACCGUGAUGUUACCUGCAGAAUAAGCACCGGCUAAUUCCGUGCCAGCAGCCGCGGUAAUACGGAAGGUGCAAGCGUUAAUCGGAAUUACUGGGCGUAAAGCGCGCGUAGGUGGUUUGUUAAGUUGGAUGUGAAAGCCCUGGGCUCAACCUAGGAACUGCAUCCAAAACUAACUCACUAGAGUACGAUAGAGGGAGGUAGAAUUCACAGUGUAGCGGUGGAAUGCGUAGAUAUUGUGAAGAAUACCAAUGGCGAAGGCAGCCUCCUGGAUCUGUACUGACACUAAGGUGCGAAAGCGUGGGUAGCGAACAGGAUUAGAUACCCUGGUAGUCCACGCCGUAAACGAUGUCAACUAGCUGUUGGGAAACAAUGUUUCUCAGUGGCGCAGCUAACGUAGUAAGUUGACCGCCUGGGGAGUACGGCCGCAAGGCUAAAACUCAAAUGAAUUGACGGGGACCCGCACAAGCGGUGGAGCAUGUGGUUUAAUUCGAUGCAACGCGAAAAACCUUACCUAUACUUUACAUACUUGGAAUGCUUUGUAAUGAAGCAGUGCCCUCGGGAGCCAAGAUACAGGUGCUGCAUGGUUGUCGUCAGCUCGUGCUGUGAAGUGUCGGGUUAAGUCCCAUAACGAGCGCAACCCCUAUCAUUAGUUGCUAACAUUUAGUUGAGGACUCUAGUGAAACUGCCCGCGCAAGCGUGGAGGAAGGUGGGGAUGACGUCAAAUCAUCACGGCCCUUACGUCUAGGGCUACACACGUGCUACAAUGGUGAAUACAGAGGGAAGCCAGCUGGUAACAGUGAGCAAAUCCAUAAAAUUCAUCUCAGUUCGGAUUGAGGUCUGCAACUCGACCUCAUGAAGCUGGAAUCGCUAGUAAUCGUAUAUCAGCCAUGAUACGGUGAAUACGUUCCCGGGCCUUGUACACACCGCCCGUCAAGCCAUGGAAGUUGGGGAUACCUGAAGUCGGUAACCGAAAGGAGCUGCCUAAGGUAAAAUCAGUAACUGGGGCUAAGUCAUAACAAGGUAGCCGUA
This 1488-nucleotide ribosomal RNA is filed under the name uncultured bacterium. RNAcentral describes it as "bacterial SSU rRNA". It matches the Rfam family "Bacterial small subunit ribosomal RNA". The record is from RNAcentral.